CGAGAGUUUGUAUCCUGGCGUCAGGAUGAACGCUGGCGGCGUGCUAACACAUGCAAGUCGAGCGAAGCACUUUGCUUUGAUUCUUUCGGGAGGAAAGUAAUUUGACUGAGCGGCGGACGGGUGGAGUAACGCUGGGUAACCUGCCUCAUACAGGGGAUAACAGUUAGAAAUGACUGCUAAUACCGCAUAAGACCACAGUACUGCAUGGUACAGUGGUAAAAACUCCGGUGGUAUGAGAUGGACCCGCGUCUGAUUAGCUGGUUGUGGGGGUAACGGCCACCAAGGCGACGAUCAGUAGCCGGCCUGAGAGGGUGAACGGCCACAUUGGGACUGAGACACGGCCCAAACUCCUACGGGAGGCAGCAGUGGGGGAUAUUGCACAAUGGGGGGAACCCUGAUGCAGCGACGCCGCGUGAGCGAUGAAGUAUUUCGGUAUGCAAAGCUCUAUCAGCAGGGAAGAAAAUGACGGUACCUGACUAAGAAGCCCCGGCUAACUACGUG
Molecule: ribosomal RNA, 501 nt
Filed under: uncultured Lachnospiraceae bacterium
Lineage: Bacteria; Bacillati; Bacillota; Clostridia; Lachnospirales; Lachnospiraceae
Description: bacterial SSU rRNA
Rfam family: Bacterial small subunit ribosomal RNA
Source: RNAcentral